CCAGCCGAGGCCUUAGGGCCAACGCUGUGAGCUCAGGGCUUUCUCUCAUGGCGAGGCUCCAGCAGGGGCUGUGCUGUCUCUCUUCACUGGCUGGGCAGAGAAGACAUGCCUCCUCCAGGCUGUCGUUGGACAUUGAAGUGUCUGGAAAGAGUCGUUGCUGCUGAGAAGAACAUGGAGUCAUCCUACCUUGGCAGAGCCCCAAAGCUGUCCUAGACCCACCCUCACCAAAGCUAGAGUGUGGGAACUUCAAUUGCAGUUCUAGGGAGAGGAAUGGGUCCCUUGAGAGCCCCUGUGCCGAUGGGAGGCGGCCUCCCUACACAGUGGUUGAAAGCCAGGCCUGCAGGGGGCUCUUCACACACGGACAAGGACUGACCAGGUCCCAGUCUUGCUGAAAGGACCACAGUCCCGGGCUGAAGCCUCAAGGUUGCGUCCAGUCACCAAGCACACAUGGUCAUUCCCUUCACCUCUUGACCGCUGUCCCACGUUCUUCGUGAACCCACUUCCUCCCCAGUCCACCCUCUCAUGGACACAGAAGACCCAUUGGGACCCAGCAGUCCUGUUUUCUAGAGGAGUCCCCUGUGCCCUGAAUAGCUAUCCACAAGGACACCAGGACACUUCCUAUUGGGAAAGGCUACAGCAUCCUUCAGGUGAAGGAGUUAGAGACCAAACCUACAACCCUCAGCAACAGCAUCCUCCCCACCAGAAAGCUCAAGGUGUCCUGAUCGCAUGGCCUGUCAGCCUUCUUCCCAGUGGAUUACAACUCAUCUGGUCCUUCCUCUCCACUUCCUGAUGAGAACUGAGCCUCCCACUCUUUGUGGCAUCCCAGAUGGAGGCACAGUAAGUGUGACUGCCAUCCGGAACACCUGUGAGGAAUCUCCUAGGCAGGGGGCGGGGCCUCUUCCCCUGUGCAAGAGGAAGAACCGGUGACAUUGAAGAGGCUGCCCUCCCUUUUGAGUCCCUCCUGGCUCUGCCCACAGGAAGCUGGCUGUUUGCCUGAGCCUCUUGUUUUCCUCUAUUUGGUUUUUAUACUUUCCAAAUAUGAUAUAAAAGCA
Long non-coding RNA from Mesocricetus auratus (golden hamster), 1052 nucleotides. RefSeq lists it as uncharacterized. NCBI's taxonomy places the organism in Eukaryota, Metazoa, Chordata, Mammalia, Rodentia, Cricetidae. The record is from RefSeq and is a predicted model, not a curated record. The transcript has 5 exons.